Molecule: long non-coding RNA, 262 nt
Organism: Acanthopagrus latus (yellowfin seabream)
Lineage: Eukaryota; Metazoa; Chordata; Actinopteri; Spariformes; Sparidae
Exons: 3
Source: RefSeq, a predicted model, not a curated record
GCCUGUCUUCAGGGAGUCAACACAAAAUCUGAACCCCAACAGAUGAUCUCUAAACACCAGAGGCCACAAUGAGUGAUCCAACUCACAGAAACGCGGGCCGAUGCAACACUUGCUCAUCACGUUGUUGUGGCGAUGGUGCGAGAAACCAACAACGGCCAGGCUACACAUCAAAGACAACAAAAGCCGCAGUGAUGGAGUGGGCGCGCAAACGGGCCAAUCAGCAGUGAAGCGACUUCAUCGCAAUUAAUAUGCAGGCUAUAUU